Molecule: non-coding RNA, 140 nt
Organism: Ceratotherium simum simum (southern white rhinoceros)
Lineage: Eukaryota; Metazoa; Chordata; Mammalia; Perissodactyla; Rhinocerotidae
Source: RefSeq, a predicted model, not a curated record
CCUCAGAAAAAUCCAUAAACUAUAGAGAAAGAAAAAACUGAUCUUAAAGGGCCCACACACAGAUUCACCCAUUCUGGAAACCAACUCAAAAACCCAGAAAGAAAAGUGCAGAAUCCAUUGGUAAAAUAGACUCACUUGCU